AACGAACGCUGGCGGCAUGCCUAACACAUGCAAGUCGAACGAGACCUUCGGGUCUAGUGGCGCACGGGUGCGUAACGCGUGGGAACCUGCCCUUAGGUUCGGAAUAACUCCCCGAAAGGGGUGCUAAUACCGGAUAAUGUCUUCGGACCAAAGAUUUAUCGCCUUUGGAUGGGCCCGCGUUGGAUUAGCUAGUUGGUAGGGUAAAAGCCUACCAAGGCGACAAUCCAUAGCUGGUCUGAGAGGAUGAUCAGCCACACUGGGACUGAGACACGGCCCAGACUCCUACGGGAAGCAGCAGUGGGGAAUAUUGGACAAUGGGCGAAAGCCUGAUCCAGCAAUGCCGCGUGAGUGAUGAAGGCCUUAGGGUUGUAAAGCUCUUUUACCCGGGAUGAUAAUGACAGUACCGGGAGAAUAAGCUCCGGCUAACUCCGUG
Molecule: ribosomal RNA, 433 nt
Filed under: uncultured bacterium
Lineage: Bacteria
Description: partial 16S ribosomal RNA
Rfam family: Bacterial small subunit ribosomal RNA
Source: RNAcentral